RNAcentral lists this long non-coding RNA (705 nucleotides) under Phaseolus vulgaris (common bean). RNAcentral describes it as "long non-coding RNA (PVUL_LNC001411)". Lineage: Eukaryota; Viridiplantae; Streptophyta; Magnoliopsida; Fabales; Fabaceae. The record is from RNAcentral.
ACCAAGGAAGUCUCCAACCUGCAUAGGAGCCGUGAUGCCCGUGACACACAAUAACAGAGAUAAUGCACAUUUUAUACUACAAAAAGAAGCAGAUUCUGCAGUACUCUACAUUCAAAGCUUCCAUCUUUAAUACUGCAACUUUUACUACAUUCAAGCUUCCAUCUUUAAUACAGCAACUUUUACUACAUUCAAGCUUCCAAGACUGAAAUGCUCAAGUUUUAACUUGUAGUAUCAUCACCCCUCCUUCAAAGACGGCAAGAGGACAUCAGCAAAUCCCUUAUCAUGCUCCUAAUCCUUCACUUCCUUUUGAUUUUUAAAACCUCUGCGGCAUAUGAUUCAUGUAUAUACUUAAGGCAACCAACCCAAUACAUCACUGAGCCACAAAUGGGGUUACUGUGCCAAAAAUUAAUUCAUGCUCCAGCAUAAAGCACACAAAUUCUGCAAGGUUCUACAUUCAUAUAUUGCAUAAGAAAGUUGAUAGUUGGUGCCUGUCUUAGAUGGGUACAGAAGACUAGUGCCUACUUCCAGCUUCACAUAAAGCUAUGUCACCUGCUCCUUCCAUUCUGCUUCCCUUUUUCCCUGCACCCCAGUCUAAGUUCACUGCUAAAAGUCCACCCUGCAUCAAAAUCUUCCAAAGAGAAACCUGUGAUGGUCUGGCCGGUCCAACCAUCACUGCUGCCUCCACAAUGAUCAAAUAAGAUACAU